RNAcentral lists this ribosomal RNA (559 nucleotides) under Shigella sonnei. RNAcentral's name for it is "bacterial SSU rRNA". It matches the Rfam family "Bacterial small subunit ribosomal RNA", at positions 967 to 1526 of the family's 1533-position model. The record is from RNAcentral. Lineage: Bacteria; Pseudomonadati; Pseudomonadota; Gammaproteobacteria; Enterobacterales; Enterobacteriaceae.
AACCUUACCUGGUCUUGACAUCCACAGAACUUUCCAGAGAUGGAUUGGUGCCUUCGGGAACUGUGAGACAGGUGCUGCAUGGCUGUCGUCAGCUCGUGUUGUGAAAUGUUGGGUUAAGUCCCGCAACGAGCGCAACCCUUAUCCUUUGUUGCCAGCGGUCCGGCCGGGAACUCAAAGGAGACUGCCAGUGAUAAACUGGAGGAAGGUGGGGAUGACGUCAAGUCAUCAUGGCCCUUACGACCAGGGCUACACACGUGCUACAAUGGCGCAUACAAAGAGAAGCGACCUCGCGAGAGCAAGCGGACCUCAUAAAGUGCGUCGUAGUCCGGAUUGGAGUCUGCAACUCGACUCCAUGAAGUCGGAAUCGCUAGUAAUCGUGGAUCAGAAUGCCACGGUGAAUACGUUCCCGGGCCUUGUACACACCGCCCGUCACACCAUGGGAGUGGGUUGCAAAAGAAGUAGGUAGCUUAACCUUCGGGAGGGCGCUUACCACUUUGUGAUUCAUGACUGGGGUGAAGUCGUAACAAGGUAACCGUAGGGGAACCUGCGGUUGGAUCAC